RNAcentral lists this ribosomal RNA (468 nucleotides) under uncultured bacterium. RNAcentral describes it as "partial 16S ribosomal RNA". It matches the Rfam family "Bacterial small subunit ribosomal RNA", at positions 28 to 507 of the family's 1533-position model. The record is from RNAcentral.
GACGAACGCUGGCGGCGUGCUUAACACAUGCAAGUCGAACGGAAAGGCCCUGCUUUUGUGGGGUGCUCGAGUGGCGAACGGGUGAGUAACACGUGAGUAACCUGCCCUUGACUUUGGGAUAACUUCAGGAAACUGGGGCUAAUACCGGAUAGGAGCUCCUGCUGCAUGGUGGGGGUUGGAAAGUUUCGGCGGUUGGGGAUGGACUCGCGGCUUAUCAGCUUGUUGGUGGGGUAGUGGCUUACCAAGGCUUUGACGGGUAGCCCGCCUGAGAGGGUGAACGGGCACAAUGGUACUGAGAGACGGCCCAGAGGCCUACAGGAGGCAGCAGUGGGGAAUAUGGCACAAUGGGCGGAAGCCUGAUGCAGAAACGCCGCGUUCGGGAUGACGGCCUUCGGGGUGUAAACCGCUUUCGCCUGAGACGAAGCGUGAGUGACGGUAAUGGGUGAAGAAGCACCGGCUAACUACGUG